GCCAGGUGUGGUGGCUCACACCUGUAAUCCCAGCACUUUGGGAGGCUGAGGCGGGUGAAUCAUUUGAGGUCAGGAGUUCAAGACCAGCCUGGCCAACAUGGUGAAACCCCGUCUCUA
This is a non-coding RNA of Homo sapiens (human), 117 nucleotides long. It matches the Rfam family "Metazoan signal recognition particle RNA". Rfam says of the family: The signal recognition particle (SRP) is a universally conserved ribonucleoprotein. It is involved in the co-translational targeting of proteins to membranes. The eukaryotic SRP consists of a 300-nucleotide 7S RNA and six proteins: SRPs 72, 68, 54, 19, 14, and 9. The record is from Rfam. NCBI's taxonomy places the organism in Eukaryota, Metazoa, Chordata, Mammalia, Primates, Hominidae.